UUCGCAAUGCCCGAAAGGGUGACGAAGCGACGCCGCGUGUGGGAAGAAGGCCUUCGGGUUGUAAACCACUGUCGGGAGUUAAGAAAUGUAAGGAUGUUAAUAGCGUUCUUACUUGACUAAGGCUCCGGAGGAAGCCACGGCUAACUCUGUGCCAGCAGCCGCGGUAAUACAGAGGCGGCAAGCGUUGUUCGGAAUUAUUGGGCGUAAAGAGCACGUAGGCGGCUGUGUAAGUCGGUUGUGAAAGCCUUCUGCUCAACGGAAGAACAGCAUCUGAUACUGCAAGGCUAGAGCGCGGAAGGGGAGAGUGGAACUUCUGGUGGAGCGGUGAAAUGCGUAGAUAUCAGAAGGAACGCCGGCGGCGAAAGCGGCUCUCUGGCCCAUAACUGACGCUGAGUGUGCGAAAGCUAGGGGAGCAAACGGGAUUAGAUACCCCGGUAGUCCUAGCCGUAAACGAUGGGCACUAAGUAGAGGGGUUUU
Molecule: ribosomal RNA, 477 nt
Filed under: uncultured anaerobic ammonium-oxidizing bacterium
Lineage: Bacteria
Description: bacterial SSU rRNA
Rfam family: Bacterial small subunit ribosomal RNA
Source: RNAcentral